GGCUCCGCAAACCAGUUGUAAACUAGAGCAAGCAAGUCUGGCGGGCUUCGGCCUCCAGACGAUAUGGAUAACCCCGGUAAUUCUGAGGCUAAUACAUGACUAAAAGCUGACCCAGCAAUGGGCCAUGCUCAAGAGCAAUAACACCACGGCGGUUUUGCUAAUCAAUUUUCGAUGCGAAUACACCCUUGAGUCGACCGUCAUAAAAAAGCGCCGCUGGGAUCGAGGCUUUCUGCUGCGAGGUGGAGGCUGAGUGAAAGGUGGUGUGGCGGCCGGGUUGAGUGGCUCCUGACCUAUCAUACUAGAAGCUGGGGUAAUGCCCCAGCUUGGUCGCAACGGGUACAGAGGAUUAGGGUUCGAU
This 358-nucleotide ribosomal RNA is filed under the name uncultured myxomycete. RNAcentral describes it as "partial small subunit ribosomal RNA". It matches the Rfam family "Eukaryotic small subunit ribosomal RNA", at positions 95 to 381 of the family's 1831-position model. The record is from RNAcentral. Lineage: Eukaryota; Evosea; Eumycetozoa.